RNAcentral lists this ribosomal RNA (559 nucleotides) under Penicillium sp. EXP0515F. Its description in RNAcentral is "eukaryotic LSU rRNA". It matches the Rfam family "Eukaryotic large subunit ribosomal RNA", at positions 93 to 664 of the family's 3401-position model. Lineage: Eukaryota; Fungi; Ascomycota; Eurotiomycetes; Eurotiales; Aspergillaceae. The record is from RNAcentral.
GUGAAGCGGCAAGAGCUCAAAUUUGAAAGCUGGCUCCUUCGGGGUCCGCAUUGUAAUUUGUAGAGGAUGCUUCGGGAGCGGUCCCCAUCUAAGUGCCCUGGAACGGGACGUCAUAGAGGGUGAGAAUCCCGUAUGGGAUGGGGUGUCCGCGCCCGUGUGAAGCUCCUUCGACGAGUCGAGUUGUUUGGGAAUGCAGCUCUAAAUGGGUGGUAAAUUUCAUCUAAAGCUAAAUAUUGGCCGGAGACCGAUAGCGCACAAGUAGAGUGAUCGAAAGAUGAAAAGCACUUUGAAAAGAGAGUUAAAAAGCACGUGAAAUUGUUGAAAGGGAAGCGCUUGCGACCAGACUCGCUCGCGGGGUUCAGCCGGCAUUCGUGCCGGUGUACUUCCCCGCGGGCGGGCCAGCGUCGGUUUGGGCGGUCGGUCAAAGGCCCUCGGAAGGUAACGCCCCUAGGGGCGUCUUAUAGCCGAGGGUGCAAUGCGACCUGCCUAGACCGAGGAACGCGCUUCGGUUCGAGACGCUGGAUAAUGGAACGUAAACGGACCCGUCUUGAAACUCGGU